This 420-nucleotide ribosomal RNA is filed under the name uncultured prokaryote. Its description in RNAcentral is "bacterial SSU rRNA". It matches the Rfam family "Bacterial small subunit ribosomal RNA", at positions 355 to 774 of the family's 1533-position model. The record is from RNAcentral.
UAAGGAAUAUUGCUCAAUGGGAGAAAUCCUGAAGCAGCAACGCCGCGUGGAGGAUGAAGGGCUUUCAGCUUGUAAACUCCUGUAAAGAAGGAAAAAAUUCCCAUUGGAUGGGAAAUGAUGGUACUUCUAAAGUAAGCCCCGGCUAACUACGUGCCAGCAGCCGCGGUAAUCAGUAGGGGGCAAGCGUUGUCCGGAUUUACUGGGUGUAAAGGGUGCUCAGGCGGAUGUGUAAGUCAGAGGUGAAAUCUCACAGCUUAACUGUGAAACUGCCUUUGAUACUGCAAGUCUAGAGUAUGGAAGAGAGUGAUGGGAUGUCUGGUGUAGCAGUGAAAUGCGUAGAUAUCAGAUAGAACACCAAUGGCGAAGGCAGUCACUUGGUCCAUUACUGACGCUAAAGCACGAAAGCGUGGGGAGCAAACA